Molecule: long non-coding RNA, 344 nt
Organism: Podarcis muralis (Common wall lizard)
Lineage: Eukaryota; Metazoa; Chordata; Lepidosauria; Squamata; Lacertidae
Source: RefSeq, a predicted model, not a curated record
GCCGCCGCCGCCGCCGCCGCCGCCAUCACACGCCGCUUCCGGCUCCUGCUCGUGACGUUCUUUGCGGCGGCCCCGGGGGCAUGUCCGGCCAGCCCAGUGCAUUUCGGGAGCUGUAGUCCCGCUCGUCUCCGCCCAGCAAGACGGAGGAGGGGCGUCCCAGCGCGCGAGACGCGGCUGCGUCAUGACCUUUUACAUCUUCUUGACUAGCUGGAGCCAAGAUUCCCUGUUCUACCUAUUAAAGAUAACAGAUUCCUGACCUCCUCUGCACCUCAUCGCCCUAAAGAAAUCAACUUUUGUCCGAAAGUUCUGAAUGUAGCAGAAAUAAAAGUCUAAAACCUCCUGCA